RNAcentral lists this long non-coding RNA (954 nucleotides) under Marmota monax (woodchuck). Lineage: Eukaryota; Metazoa; Chordata; Mammalia; Rodentia; Sciuridae. The record is from RNAcentral.
GUGACCUCCACAGUGUACAGCCAGCCAGUUUGAUACAUUUCACAACAAUUUGGCUAUAUCAUAACCUAUGUUUAUUUUAUUUUCAAUUUUAUCUUAGUUAUUUUCCCUGUGGCAAACUGAAUUAUGAUAAUCUUGCAGUAUUUCUACCCUGCUCCUUUGUGUUUUUCAAUAUUUCUGGUGCCUUCUUCUUUUUAACCUUGGCAUUAGAAAAAUCAUGUUGUACAUAAAUAAGUUUACAUGCUUUAAUUUAAUGGUGUUUUCAUAUAGUAUACUAAAUUUUCUAGGCAAAGUGCUGAGAAUAGCAGUGUUCUCUUACAGUUGUUUUUAAGCCAUAGAUUUUUUAAAAAGAAUAUAUUCUCAAUGAAUAAAACUGAUGUUCAUGUCAUUGUUCUAUUUAUAGAAUUGUUAUAUGUUCAGAUUUUUUAAUUUUAGUAAUGUUCUUAUAAUCCUCUAGUAAUGCUUUCUAGUUUUCACUGUUUUAGCAACUAGAAAUGUUUAUUGACUAAUAAUUUUAUGGCAACAAUUGUCAUCUGAAAAAAAGAAGAGUAAUCAGUCUUGAGAGAGUGGGGACUUUUUGUUCUUUGACAGCCCAAUGAAAAGGUUUUAGUUUUUGACAAAUUUUAUAGCCAAAAGGAAUAUUUCCAAUAUAACUAUAUCAAGGAAAUUGCUGAGAUAAAAGAAGAUGAUUAUAACAUUCUGCUGGUAACAUAGUACAUUGUUUUAGAAAGGUAAUUCCAACUAAAAAUGAAACUGAAUUAUGUAUUUUAAAAAUAUUUCUACCAUUGACUGGUUAAAAAAAAGUUUAUGUGCUCUUAUUAAAGAAUUAUCAACUGUUUUGCUCUGAAUAUAAAAGAUUGGGAAGAAUUUUAUAUAGAGAAGUUAAUUUCUUAGAGUUAUAACUUUUUUAUUUUUUGAAAAUUGUCUACCAAUAGCUUUGAAGCACUUCUGUCCCUG